GACGAACGCUGGCGGCGUGCCUAAUACAUGCAAGUUGAGCGCUGAAGGUUGGUACUUGUACCAACUGGAUGAGCAGCGAACGGGUGAGUAACGCGUGGGGAAUCUGCCUUUGAGCGGGGGACAACAUUUGGAAACGAAUGCUAAUACCGCAUAAAAACUUUAAACACAAGUUUUAAGUUUGAAAGAUGCAAUUGCAUCACUCAAAGAUGAUCCCGCGUUGUAUUAGCUAGUUGGUGAGGUAAAGGCUCACCAAGGCGAUGAUACAUAGCCGACCUGGGAGGGUGAUCGGCCACAUUGGGACUGAGACACGGCCCAAACUCCUACGGGAGGCAGCAGUAGGGAAUCUUCGGCAAUGGACGAAAGUCUGACCGAGCAACGCCGCGUGAGUGAAGAAGGGUUUCGGAUCGUAAAACUCUGUUGGUAGAGAAGAACGUUGGGGAGAGUGGAAAGCUCAUCAAGUGACGGUAACUACCCAGAAAGGGACGGCUAACUACGUG
RNAcentral lists this ribosomal RNA (497 nucleotides) under uncultured bacterium. RNAcentral describes it as "partial 16S ribosomal RNA". It matches the Rfam family "Bacterial small subunit ribosomal RNA", at positions 28 to 507 of the family's 1533-position model. The record is from RNAcentral.